AACGUAGGAGGCAAGCGUUAUCCGGAUUUACUGGGCGUAAAGCGCGUGCAGGCGGUUUGGAAAGUUGGAUGUGAAAGCUCCUGGCUUAACUGGGAGAGGUCGUUCAAUACUACCAGACUUGAGGAUAGUAGAGGGAGAUGGAAUUCCGGGUGUAGUGGUGAAAUGCGUAGAUAUCCGGAGGAACACCAGUGGCGAAAGCGGUCUCCUGGACUAUUUCUGACGCUCAGACGCGAAAGCUAGGGUAGCAAACGGG
Molecule: ribosomal RNA, 253 nt
Filed under: uncultured bacterium
Lineage: Bacteria
Description: partial 16S ribosomal RNA
Rfam family: Bacterial small subunit ribosomal RNA
Source: RNAcentral